UACGGGGGGAGCAAGCGUUGUUCGGAUUUACUGGGCGUAAAGGGCGCGUAGGCGGUCGUGACAAGUCACUUGUGAAAUCUCCGGGGCUUAACUCGGAACGGUCAAGUGAUACUGUCGGACUAGAGUACAGAAGGGGCAACUGGAAUUCUCGGUGUAGCGGUGAAAUGCGUAGAUAUCAGGAGGAACACCAAUUGCGAAGGCAGCUCGCUGGGACGUUACUGACGCUGAGGAGCGAAAGCGUGGGGAGCAAACAGG
RNAcentral lists this ribosomal RNA (255 nucleotides) under uncultured bacterium. Its description in RNAcentral is "partial 16S ribosomal RNA". It matches the Rfam family "Bacterial small subunit ribosomal RNA", at positions 524 to 776 of the family's 1533-position model. The record is from RNAcentral.